GAUGAACGCUGGCGGCGUGCCUAAUACAUGCAAGUCGAGCGAACAGACGAGGAGCUUGCUCCUCUGACGUUAGCGGCGGACGGGUGAGUAACACGUGGAUAACCUACCUAUAAGACUGGGAUAACUUCGGGAAACCGGAGCUAAUACCGGAUAAUAUAUUGAACCGCAUGGUUCAAUAGUGAAAGACGGUUUUGCUGUCACUUAUAGAUGGAUCCGCGCCGCAUUAGCUAGUUGGUAAGGUAACGGCUUACCAAGGCGACGAUGCGUAGCCGACCUGAGAGGGUGAUCGGCCACACUGGAACUGAGACACGGUCCAGACUCCUACGGGAGGCAGCAGUAGGGAAUCUUCCGCAAUGGGCGAAAGCCUGACGGAGCAACGCCGCGUGAGUGAUGAAGGGCUGCGGAUCGUAAAACUCUGUUAUUAGGGAAGAACAAAUGUGUAAGUAACUAUGCACGUCUUGACGGUACCUAAGCAGAAAGCCACGGCUAACUACGU
This 496-nucleotide ribosomal RNA is filed under the name uncultured bacterium. RNAcentral describes it as "partial 16S ribosomal RNA". It matches the Rfam family "Bacterial small subunit ribosomal RNA", at positions 28 to 506 of the family's 1533-position model. The record is from RNAcentral.